RNAcentral lists this ribosomal RNA (253 nucleotides) under uncultured bacterium. Its description in RNAcentral is "partial 16S ribosomal RNA". It matches the Rfam family "Bacterial small subunit ribosomal RNA", at positions 524 to 776 of the family's 1533-position model. The record is from RNAcentral.
UACGUAGGGUGCAAGCGUUGUCCGGAAUUAUUGGGCGUAAAGAGCUCGUAGGCGGUUUGUCGCGUCUGCUGUGAAAACUCGGGGCUUAACUCCGGGCCUGCAGUGGGUACGGGCAGACUAGAGUGCGGUAGGGGAGACUGGAAUUCCUGGUGUAGCGGUGAAAUGCGCAGAUAUCAGGAGGAACACCGGUGGCGAAGGCGGUUCUCUGGGCAUGAUCUGACGCUGAGGAGCGAAAGUGUGGGGAGCGAACAGG